RNAcentral lists this long non-coding RNA (706 nucleotides) under Equus caballus (horse). RNAcentral's name for it is "lncRNA (ENSECAG00000048732.1)". Lineage: Eukaryota; Metazoa; Chordata; Mammalia; Perissodactyla; Equidae. The record is from RNAcentral.
GCAGACGGGGCCAAGAGCCAGCCGGGCCUCCCCCUGCGCCGCAGCGGGAGACGGCUGACGCUCGCAAACAUCGUCGCGAGGCGAUAAAAUGCCAGUCCUGGCCUCUCGGUUGAGCAGACUAAGAGCAAUGAGCAGAGCACGUGUUUCUUGUCGGCUUCGAAUGCAGAGCUCUCCACUGCCCAGAGCUGCCUUCCUGUGGUGCAAACAAGGAGAAAGUGAAAAGCGACAUCUCUGUUCGUUGUGCUCCGUUGUCUGAUGGCUCCCGCCUCACCCACAGGGCAUGUGGAUCGCUGUUAAAUAGCUGAAAGGGAAGACCAGCAACUUAGUUCCGUGGCCUCACCUGGAUGAGCCAGGCCUACCCCUCGUCCCCGGACACUGCACGUUCCAUGAGCCACGCCCGCAGCAGUCUCCGGUGCGCCUCUUCCUGUGGAAGCUGCCUGUCUGCAGAUUCAGCCUGUCCACGCGCGAGGCCCUGUCAUGUCCUGGAGGGCGGCAGGGAGCUGUCCAACCACGACGCUGCAGAGCAGCUGGACCCGCAGAACGCCGUCCCCACUGCUCGCUGCUGGUCAAAAUAAUGAACAGAGGGGAUGCUGUCCCCACCCACUUCCCAAAAGGAGGUGUGUAGUGUAAAAGACCAUGGAACUAGAUACGCUUUUCCCUGUUAUCUAUUUGGGAUCUCUCCAGUUUCUCCUACUAAAAAAUAAAA